This 253-nucleotide ribosomal RNA is filed under the name uncultured bacterium. RNAcentral's name for it is "partial 16S ribosomal RNA". It matches the Rfam family "Bacterial small subunit ribosomal RNA", at positions 524 to 776 of the family's 1533-position model. The record is from RNAcentral.
UACGUAGGGGGCAAGCGUUGUCCGGAUUUAUUGGGCGUAAAGAGCGUGUAGGCGGUCAGGUAGGUCCGUUGUGAAAACUGGAGGCUCAACCUCCAGACGUCGACGGAAACCGUAUGGCUAGAGUCCGGAAGAGGAGAGUGGAAUUCCUGGUGUAGCGGUGAAAUGCGCAGAUAUCAGGAAGAACACCAAUGGCGAAGGCAGCUCUCUGGGACGGUACUGACGCUGAGACGCGAAAGCGUGGGGAGCGAACAGG